This is a long non-coding RNA of Vidua chalybeata, 162 nucleotides long. RefSeq lists it as uncharacterized. NCBI's taxonomy places the organism in Eukaryota, Metazoa, Chordata, Aves, Passeriformes, Viduidae. The record is from RefSeq and is a predicted model, not a curated record. The transcript is spliced from 3 exons.
GCUGAGCAAGGGGCCACAGUCGGUGACUCCAGGAAACUGCCAGCAGGCGAGGCGGCCUUCCUCGGCCCCCGACGAGCAGCCAGAUGGAAUCCGUGGCAGAGGGCCCCGUCACGGGUGAGGGGGGGGGUCCCCCGAGAAGGAACUAAAGCCAGUUACUAGCAG